CUCGAGUGCAAUUUACCGUCCAUUUUAACUAGAUAAACAUUAAUACAUGACUAGGAGGAAUAAAGCAGCUUGCAAUCCUGGAAUUAGAAUACCAACGACGUUUAAGGCCGACUUUCUCCGAAACCACCAAUCGCCAACAGAGUUCACUCAAAACACCCACUAUAUAUACAACGGCUCAUUUGAUUGGAUAUUAUCCAAGCGAUAUUUAAAUAUUUCACAUAAAUUUUCCUAGUUGAAUAGAGGGUUUUUAGCUAUGGCAGAAAAUGGGCGAAAAAUUUUAGUAGCAAUCGAUGAAGGAGAUGAAAGCAUGUACGCACUCACAUGGUGUCUCAACAAUGUUAUUAGUGAGCAUUCCAAAGAUACCCUUAUCCUCUGCUACGUCAAACCACCUCGAGCUGUCUCCACAGCCAUGGAGGGAACAGGUAAAAUUGUGCAGGAUUGGCAUUUUUUGAAAUGGAUAUAUGAAGGGGGGUAAUGUAAUGUAAUUUUUUUAAAAUUAUGCAGUAUGGGCAUUUUCUCCUGAUGUAAUGGCGAGCAUCGAGAGGUACAGCAAUGGUGUGGCUCAGUGCGUGAUUGACAAGGCGAAAAGAGCUUGCAAGCACUUGAAUGAUGUGAGUUUGGUAAAUUUGCGAUUUCUUCAAGGGUAAAACAGUCAUUUAGAAAAUAAUAGUACUAUGUGGUUUGGUGCGUGUAGGUUAAAGUGGAGAUAGCGGUGGAGCAGGGAGAUCCAAGGGACAUGAUUUGUGAAGUGGCUGAGAAAUUGAAUGUGGAUAUGUUAGUGAUGGGAAGUCAUGGUUAUGGUCUCAUUAAGAGGUAUCAGAUUUUAACUUUUUAUUGGAAGUUGCUUUUUUUCCAAAUUUCAAAUGGGAUUUCGGCAAAAAAAAAAAACAUAGUUUGGAAUAGAAAUUAUUUUAUUUUGUGGGUUAUAUGAUAUUGUUUUGUGAAAAUGGCAGGGCAUUUCUUGGGAGUGUGAGCAAUCACUGUACGCAAAACGCGAAAUGUCCAGUUUUAGUAGUGAAGAAGCCCAAACCAAAUGGCAGCAAUGACAAACACUAAUAAUUACAAAGCUGUUAUUGGUUUGCAUGUACGGAAGUUGAACUUCCUUUUUGAUCAGGCGUGGGGUCCACUUUUGUUUUCCACUUUUCGUCCUUGUUUGGGUUCUGUAAUUUGGUUCCUGUGGUAGUGAGUUUUCUAGGGCUUCGUUUCUUGUCUUAUUCAACUUAUAGUGGCUUUUGCUCACUUUUGCUUAUGCCCAAUUUUUGUUCAAAAAACUGUCCUCGAGUGUUUGACGUCCAAAAUGUUCAUA
This 1306-nucleotide long non-coding RNA is filed under the name Olea europaea subsp. europaea. The record is from RNAcentral. Lineage: Eukaryota; Viridiplantae; Streptophyta; Magnoliopsida; Lamiales; Oleaceae.